Molecule: ribosomal RNA, 330 nt
Filed under: uncultured eukaryote
Lineage: Eukaryota
Description: partial 18S ribosomal RNA
Rfam family: Eukaryotic small subunit ribosomal RNA
Source: RNAcentral
CCCUUAGAUGUUCUGGGCCGCACGCGCGCUACACUGAUGUAUUCAACGAGUCUAAAACCUGGUCUGAUAGGGCUGGGUAAUCUUUUGAAUGUGCAUCGUGAUUGGGAUAGAUGAUUGCAAUUCUUCAUCUUCAACGAGGAAUGCCUAGUAAACGCAAGUCAUCAGCUUGCAUUGAUUACGUCCCUGCCCUUUGUACACACCGCCCGUCGCUCCUACCGAUUGAAUGUUCCGAUGAAUACCAUGGACUGAGAGUAUGAAUGGGUUCGCCUAUUUCUGCUUCUCGGGAAGUGGAGUAAAUCUUAACAUUUAGAGGAAGGAGAAGUCGUAACA